CGAACAGUAUGACAAUGAGCUUGAGGAUGCUGGCAGACAUCGCCACCCAUGCACAGGCGAUGGCCGACGAAGCGCAGGCGAUGGCGGCGGCGAUUCAGAUCGUGGUGGACGAUUGCGCAGAGCAGUUGGCCGCGAAGAAGGCCGAGAACGAAGCGGCGGGAAUCACCGGCAAAACGACGGGCGAUCCCGAAUGGGUUGCCGAGGCCGAGGCUUCCCGGGGGAAAGAGCCGAGACCGACAGCUAAGGUCCCCAAGUGUCUGUUAAGUGGAAAGGGAUGUGAGAUUUCAAAGACAACUAGGAUGUUGGCUCAGAAGCAGCCACUCAUUUAAAGAGUGCGUAACAGCUCACUAGUCGAGAGGUCUUGCGCCGAAAAUGUCCGGGGCUAAAACACACCACCGAAGCUACGGAAUUACCUAUGGUAAUUGGUAGAGGAGCAUCCUGCAAGGACGAAGCGUAAGUGAAAGCAAGCGUGGACGAAACAGGAGAGAGAAUGCCGGAAUGAGUAGCGAGAUAUAUGUGAGAAUCAUAUAGGUCGAAUGUCUAAGGUUUCCUGGGUAAAGCUGAUCUGCUCAGGGUAAGUCGGGACCUAAGGUCAGGACGAGAGUCGUAGCCGAUGGACAACAGGUAGAGAUUCCUGUACUGCGAUAAAUCAGAACUGUGGGGACACAGGAGGAUAGGGAAACCGGGGAAAGGAAAUACCCGGUCAAGCACAAAGGUUUGUUAGGUAGGCAAAUCCGCCUAACUUAUACUGAAGUGUGAUGAGGAGUGAAGAAGAGUAACGAAGUUUCCGAAUCCACACUGUCGAGAAAAGCCGCUAUUGUAUGUAUCGCACCCGUACCGCAAACCGACACAGGUAGACGAGGAGAAAAUCCACAGACCGACGGGAGAAGUGUUGUUAAGGAACUCGGCAAAAUGACCCCGUAACUUCGGGAGAAGGGGAACCAAUGCGAAUUGGUCACAGAGAAGAGGCGCAAGCAACUGUUUAGCAAAAACACAGGUCUCUGCUAAACCGUAAGGUGAAGUAUAGGGGCUGACACCUGCCCGGUGCCGGAAGGUCAAAAGGAGAGGUUAGCGCAAGCGAAGCUUUGAAUUCAAGCCCCGGUAAACGGCGGCCGUAACUAUAACGGUCCUAAGGUAGCGAAAUUCCUUGUCAGGUAAGUUCUGACCCGCACGAAAGGUGUAAUGAUUUGCGCACUGUCUCAACAACACGCCCGGUGAAAUUGAAGAACCAGUGAAGAUACUGGUUACCCGCAACAGGACGGAAAGCCCCCGUGCAGCUUUCCUAUAGCUUGAUAUUGAGACACGGUAUUUUAUGUAGAGGAUAGGUGGGAGACUAAGAGACUAAGGCGUCAGUUUUAGUGGAGUCAACCUUGGAAUACCACCCUUAAAAUAUUGUGUUUCUAACCUCGGACCAUUAUCUGGUUCAGGGACAGUGUCUGG
This 1440-nucleotide ribosomal RNA is filed under the name gut metagenome. Its description in RNAcentral is "bacterial LSU rRNA". It matches the Rfam family "Bacterial large subunit ribosomal RNA", at positions 977 to 2261 of the family's 2925-position model. The record is from RNAcentral.